This 449-nucleotide ribosomal RNA is filed under the name uncultured organism. RNAcentral's name for it is "partial 16S ribosomal RNA". It matches the Rfam family "Bacterial small subunit ribosomal RNA", at positions 334 to 799 of the family's 1533-position model. The record is from RNAcentral.
CACUCCUGCGGGAGGCAGCAGUGGGGAAUAUUGGACAAUGGGCGCAAGCCUGAUCCAGCCAUGCCGCGUGAGUGAUGAAGGCCCUAGGGUUGUAAAGCUCUUUCACCGGUGAAGAUAAUGACGGUAACCGGAGAAGAAGCCCCGGCUAACUUCGUGCCAGCAGCCGCGGUAAUACGAAGGGGGCUAGCGUUGUUCGGAUUUACUGGGCGUAAAGCGCACGUAGGCGGACUAUUAAGUCAGGGGUGAAAUCCCGGGGCUCAACCCCGGAACUGCCUUUGAUACUGGUAGUCUUGAGUUCGAGAGAGGUGAGUGGAAUUCCGAGUGUAGAGGUGAAAUUCGUAGAUAUUCGGAGGAACACCAGUGGCGAAGGCGGCUCACUGGCUCGAUACUGACGCUGAGGUGCGAAAGCGUGGGGAGCAAACAGGAUUAGAAACCCUUGUAGUCCCAUG